GACGAACGCUGGCGGCGUGCUUAACACAUGCAAGUCGAGCGGUAAGGCCCUUUCGGGGGUACACGAGCGGCGAACGGGUGAGUAACACGUGGGUGACCUGCCCUCAGCUCUGGGAUAAGCCUGGGAAACCGGGUCUAAUACUGGAUAUGACUCCAUGACGCAUGUUGUGGGGUGGAAAGCCUUGUGCGGCUGAGGAUGGGCCCGCGGCCUAUCAGCUUGUUGGUGGGGUGAUGGCCUACCAAGGCGACGACGGGUAGCCGGCCUGAGAGGGCGACCGGCCACACUGGGACUGAGACACGGGCCCAGACUCCUACGGGAGGCAGCAGUGGGGAAUCUUGCGCAAUGGGCGAAAGCCUGACGCAGCGACGCCGCGUGAGGGAUGACGGCCUGGUGUAAC
RNAcentral lists this ribosomal RNA (397 nucleotides) under uncultured bacterium. Its description in RNAcentral is "bacterial SSU rRNA". It matches the Rfam family "Bacterial small subunit ribosomal RNA", at positions 28 to 429 of the family's 1533-position model. The record is from RNAcentral.